CAUGAACUAGAUCCUUGUGAUUUUAUAUUUUAUGCAUGCAUGAUUCAGAUUAAAAGUAUUUUAAUCUUGUAUUCCACUGUGGUGUUUCGAAAAUAAAGUUUUGAAACACACAUGCAUGCUCCAAAUCUUGAAUUUCAAUAUCAAUCCCAUCUUAACUCACGCACCGACUUGAUAAGUAUUUAAUUGUACCCAGAAAUCUUCUGUUACUGAAUUAUAAAUUCAGAUAGUCUAGUAUCAAAGUACAGUGAGUUGCUUGCAAGUCUCCGUAGUGAUCUUAGGUCGGAGGGACAUUUAUACACAUAUCCUUCGUGAGCUACUCUUGACAGCAGAGUACUCCGUAGUUGGUCACGUUCAAUGACGAUGUACUCUUACAUCUCACCUGCAUGCCAUACUAAUAUCUCCACACCAUUUGAUUACGAGGAUAAUCAAUGCAUAUGGCACACAAUGACCUAUACUUGAUAUUAGUAUUUAUUAGAGUUUCAUGAUUUCAUGUAUGCAAAAAUUUUUAAAAUAAGUAUGCAGCAGAAUUUAAAAAAUUUUAGAUUAAAUCUAAUUUAAUCUAAGCAUGCAUAAGAUCAAAUUUUAAAACCAUAAAUAGGAUUAACAUAUGUGAGAUAGGAUUCAUAUACAGAAAUCAAAUAGAAAAAAAUAAAUAGGCAUCAUACCUUGGCAUGGAUUAAACUUCACCAUGAACUGAUGAUCAUGGAGGUCUUCUGAAGGUCCCUUGAAGCCGUGCAAGUGUCCAACCUCUAUGGAUAUUCACACGAGACUUUGAUCUGAUCAUAAGUUUAUUAAUCUCACCGGGGUAUUAGCUCCCUUGCAGAGAUUAUAUUUUGAUGGUUGAAAAUCUUCUUUUCUCUCUAGACACUCUUAGAGAAGAAGAAGAAAUAGGAGGAUGAUGAUCUCUAUGCUAGAGAUCAUGAGAAGAACCCUUUCUUCUCUUUCUUCCUAAAAUUCAUGCACCAAAUCUCUAGCAUAGAGAUCAUGAGAAGAACCCUUUCUUCUCUUUUCUUCCUAAAAUCCAUGCACCAAAUCUCUAUGCUAGAGAUGUAAGAAUUUUGUCAAACUUUUGAACAAAGAGAAGAAGAAAAAACUAUAUCCAAACAAGGACAAAAGAGAUAGAGAAGAGGCCCCCAACAACCAACCUUUGGCGGUUGGUAAGAAAGAAAGGAUUGGAACCAAACCUCACGCCCUCCCAUCAUGGUGCGACGCCUCUCUUUUUCUCCAAUAUUCUCACGCACGCCUCCUCUAGUUUGGGCAUCCAAAAUCUGAUCACCAUCAGCUAUCCAAUGUCUCACAUGAUGCAUGGUUUAAAUAGGAUAAGAGAUUGGUUUUAAGUAGGAGUUUAGGUGAGAGUCCAAACUCCUUUGGACUUGAAACUUUUGAUGCUGCCCACCCAAUUUAUUUGCACCAAAUAUCUGAUGGGAGAAAAGAUGAUGGCGUGAACUUAUUACAUGCUAAAAAGGAGAGAAGGGCAUGGGGUGUUUGGCAUCCAAAAUAUGAGUUGGCGUGGGGCUGGUUUAAGAUGCAUGGAGGGAGAGUUUAAUCCACUUAGGACUUUUCUUUUAGGUGGUUGAUUUAAACCAAUUUAAACUCUAAUCAAUUCUAAUUAUAUUAUGAAUUGAUUAGACCCAAAUAGAUGGAAAUUCAAAUCUAAUUAGGAGCUCAAACUAUUUAGAUUAGAUGUCAUCUAAUUAG
Molecule: long non-coding RNA, 1698 nt
Filed under: Elaeis guineensis (African oil palm)
Lineage: Eukaryota; Viridiplantae; Streptophyta; Magnoliopsida; Arecales; Arecaceae
Description: long non-coding RNA (EGUI_LNC082734)
Source: RNAcentral